This 497-nucleotide ribosomal RNA is filed under the name uncultured bacterium. RNAcentral's name for it is "partial 16S ribosomal RNA". It matches the Rfam family "Bacterial small subunit ribosomal RNA", at positions 28 to 507 of the family's 1533-position model. The record is from RNAcentral.
GAUGAACGCUGGCGGCGUGCCUAAUACAUGCAAGUCGAGCGAACAGACGAGGAGCUUGCUCCUCUGACGUUAGCGGCGGACGGGUGAGUAACACGUGGAUAACCUACCUAUAAGACUGGGAUAACUUCGGGAAACCGGAGCUAAUACCGGAUAAUAUAUUGAACCGCAUGGUUCAAUAGUGAAAGACGGUUUUGCUGUCACUUAUAGAUGGAUCCGCGCCGCAUUAGCUAGUUGGUAAGGUAACGGCUUACCAAGGCGACGAUGCGUAGCCGACCUGAGAGGGUGAUCGGCCACACUGGAACUGAGGCAAGGUCCAGACUCAUAAGGGAGGGAGCAGGAGGGAAUCUUCCGCAAUGGGCGAAAGCCUGACGAAGCAACGGCGCGUGAGUGAUGAAGGUCUUCGGAUCGUAAAACUCUGUUAUUAGGGAAGAACAAAUGUGUAAGUAACUAUGCACGUCUUGACGGUACCUAAUCAGAAAGCCACGGCUAACUACGUG